ACGGGUGAGUAAUGCAUCGGGACCUACCCAGACGUGGGGGAUAACGUAGGGAAACUUACGCUAAUACCGCAUACGUCCUACGGGAGAAAGCGGGGGACCUUCGGGCCUCGCGCGUUUGGACGGACCGAUGUUCGAUUAGCUAGUUGGUAAGGUAAUGGCUUACCAAGGCGACGAUCGAUAGCUGGUCUGAGAGGAUGAUCAGCCACACUGGGACUGAGACACGGUCCAGACUCCUACGGGAGGCAGCAGUGGGGAAUAUUGGACAAUGGGCGCAAGCCUGAUCCAGCAAUGCCGCGUGUGUGAAGAAGGCCUUCGGGUUGUAAAGCACUUUUAUCGGGAACGAAAUACCACGGGUUAAUAACCUAUGGGGCUGACGGUACCCGAGGAAUAAGCACCGGCUAACUUCGUGCCAGCAGCCGCGGUAAUACGAAGGGUGCAAGCGUUAAUCGGAAUUACUGGGCGUAAAGGGUGCGUAGGCGGUUAGUUAAGUCUGUCGUGAAAUCCCCGGGCUCAACCUGGGAAUGGCGAUGGAUACUGGCUGGCUAGAGUGUGUCAGAGGAUGGUGGAAUUUCCGGUGUAGCGGUGAAAUGCGUAGAGAUCGGAAGGAACAUCAGUGGCGAAAGGCGGCCAUCUGGG
This 636-nucleotide ribosomal RNA is filed under the name uncultured bacterium. RNAcentral describes it as "bacterial SSU rRNA". It matches the Rfam family "Bacterial small subunit ribosomal RNA", at positions 102 to 733 of the family's 1533-position model. The record is from RNAcentral.